Molecule: ribosomal RNA, 465 nt
Filed under: uncultured bacterium
Lineage: Bacteria
Description: partial 16S ribosomal RNA
Rfam family: Bacterial small subunit ribosomal RNA
Source: RNAcentral
GACGAACGCUGGCGGCGUGCUUAACACAUGCAAGUCGAACGGAAAGGCCCUGCUUGCAGGGUACUCGAGUGGCGAACGGGGGAGUAACACGUGGGUGAUCUGCCCUGCACUUCGGGAUAAGCCUGGGAAACUGGGUCUAAUACCGGAUAGGAGCCAUUUUUAGUGUGAUGGUUGGAAAGUUUUGUCGGUGUAGGAUGAGCUCGCGGCCUAUCAGCUUGUUGGUGGGGUAAUGGCCUACCAAGGCGGCGACGGGUAGCCGGCCUGAGCGGGUGGACGGACACAUUGGGACUGCGAUACGGCCCAGACUCCUACGGGAGGCAGCAGUGGGGAAUAUUGCACAAUGGGCGCAAGCCUGAUGCAGCGACGCCGCGUGGGGGAUGACGGCCUUCGGGUUGUAAACGCCUUUCGCUAGGGACGAAGCUUUUUGUGACGGUACCUAGAUAAGAAGCACCGGCUAACUACGUG